RNAcentral lists this ribosomal RNA (1373 nucleotides) under uncultured bacterium. Its description in RNAcentral is "bacterial SSU rRNA". It matches the Rfam family "Bacterial small subunit ribosomal RNA". The record is from RNAcentral.
UUAGAGUUUGAUCCUGGCUCAGAACGAAUUCUGGGGGCGUGGAUAAGACAUGCAAGUCGAACGAGAGAAUUGCUAGCUUGCUAAUAAUUCUCUAGUGGCGCACGGGUGAGUAACACGUGAGUAACCUGCCCCCGAGAGCGGGAUAGCCCUGGGAAACUGGGAUUAAUACCGCAUAGUAUCGAAAGAUUAAAGCAGCAAUGCGCUUGGGGAUGGGCUCGCGGCCUAUUAGUUAGUUGGUGAGGUAACGGCUCACCAAGGCGAUGACGGGUAGCCGGUCUGAGAGGAUGUCCGGCCACACUGGAACUGAGACACGGUCCAGACACCUACGGGUGGCAGCAGUCGAGAAUCAUUCACAAUGGGGGAAACCCUGAUGGUGUGACGCCGCGUGGGGGAAUGAAGGUCUUCGGAUUGUAAACCCCUGUCAUGUGGGAGCAAAUUAAAAAGAUAGUACCACAAGAGGAAGAGACGGCUAACUCUGUGCCAGCAGCCGCGGUAAUACAGAGGUCUCAAGCGUUGUUCGGAAUCACUGGGCGUAAAGCGUGCGUAGGCUGUUUCGUAAGUCGUGUGUGAAAGGCGCGGGCUCAACCCGCGGACGGCACAUGAUACUGCGAGACUAGAGUAAUGGAGGGGGAACCCGGAAUUCUCGGUGUAGCAGUGAAAUGCGUAGAUAUCGAGAGGAACACUCGUGGCGAAGGCGGGUUCCUGGACAUUAACUGACGCUGAGGCACGAAGGCCAGGGGAGCGAAAGGGAUUAGAUACCCCUGUAGUCCUGGCAGUAAACGGUGCACGCUUGGUGUGCGGGGAAUCGACCCCCUGCGUGCCGGAGCUAACGCGUUAAGCGUGCCGCCUGGGGAGUACGGUCGCAAGAUUAAAACUCAAAGAAAUUGACGGGGACCCGCACAAGCGGUGGAGUAUGUGGCUUAAUUCGAUGCAACGCGAAGAACCUUACCUGGGCUUGACAUGUAAUGAACAACAUGUGAAAGCAUGCGACUCUUCGGAGGCGUUACACAGGUGCUGCAUGGCCGUCGUCAGCUCGUGUCGUGAGAUGUUUGGUUAAGUCCAGCAACGAGCGCAACCCCUGUUGCCAGUUACCAGCACGUGAAGGUGGGGACUCUGGCGAGACUGCCCAGAUCAACUGGGAGGAAGGUGGGGACGACGUCAGGUCAGUAUGGCCCUUAUGCCCAGGGCUGCACACGUACUACAAUGCCCAGUACAGAGGGGGCCGAAGCCGCGAGGCGGAGGAAAUCCUGAAAACUGGGCCCAGUUCGGACUGUAGGCUGCAACCCGCCUACACGAAGCCGGAAUCGCUAGUAAUGGCGCAUCAGCUACGGCGCCGUGAAUCCGUUCCCGGGUCUUGCCCACAACGCCCGUCA